GACGAACGCUGGCGGCGUGCUUAACACAUGCAAGUCGAGCGGGGAUGAUUGAGGAAGUUCUUCGGAAUGGAAUUAAUCAUUCUAGCGGCGGACGGGUGAGUAACGCGUGAGCAAUCUGUCCCAGACAGGGGGAUAACACUUGGAAACAGGUGCUAAUACCGCAUAAGACCACAGUAUCGCAUGGUACAGAGGUAAAAGAUGCAAAUCGGUUUGGGGUGAGCUCGCGUCCCAUUAGCUAGUUGGCGAGGUAACGGCCCACCAAGGCGACGAUGGGUAGCCGACCUGAGAGGGUGAUCGGCCACAUUGGGAACUGAGACACGGGUCCAGACUCCUACGGGAGGCAGCAGUGGGGAAUAUUGGGCAAUGGGCGCAAGGCCUGACCCAGCAACGCCGCGUGAAGGAAG
This 404-nucleotide ribosomal RNA is filed under the name uncultured bacterium. Its description in RNAcentral is "bacterial SSU rRNA". It matches the Rfam family "Bacterial small subunit ribosomal RNA", at positions 28 to 410 of the family's 1533-position model. The record is from RNAcentral.